RNAcentral lists this ribosomal RNA (699 nucleotides) under Bacillus sp. (in: firmicutes). RNAcentral describes it as "bacterial SSU rRNA". It matches the Rfam family "Bacterial small subunit ribosomal RNA", at positions 41 to 721 of the family's 1533-position model. The record is from RNAcentral. Lineage: Bacteria; Bacillati; Bacillota; Bacilli; Caryophanales; Bacillaceae.
GGCGUGCCUAAUACAUGCAAGUCGAGCGGACAGAUGGGAGCUUGCUCCCUGAUGUUAGCGGCGGACGGGUGAGUAACACGUGGGUAACCUGCCUGUAAGACUGGGAUAACUCCGGGAAACCGGGGCUAAUACCGGAUGGUUGUCUGAACCGCAUGGUUCAGACAUAAAAGGUGGCUUCGGCUACCACUUACAGAUGGACCCGCGGCGCAUUAGCUAGUUGGUGAGGUAACGGCUCACCAAGGCGACGAUGCGUAGCCGACCUGAGAGGGUGAUCGGCCACACUGGGACUGAGACACGGCCCAGACUCCUACGGGAGGCAGCAGUAGGGAAUCUUCCGCAAUGGACGAAAGUCUGACGGAGCAACGCCGCGUGAGUGAUGAAGGUUUUCGGAUCGUAAAGCUCUGUUGUUAGGGAAGAACAAGUGCCGUUCAAAUAGGGCGGCACCUUGACGGUACCUAACCAGAAAGCCACGGCUAACUACGUGCCAGCAGCCGCGGUAAUACGUAGGUGGCAAGCGUUGUCCGGAAUUAUUGGGCGUAAAGGGCUCGCAGGCGGUUUCUUAAGUCUGAUGUGAAAGCCCCCGGCUCAACCGGGGAGGGUCAUUGGAAACUGGGGAACUUGAGUGCAGAAGAGGAGAGUGGAAUUCCACGUGUAGCGGUGAAAUGCGUAGAGAUGUGGGAGGAACACCAGUGGCGAACG